UUCCUUUCCAGUCCAGCAAGCAAGUCUAAGAGCAAAGAUUUGAAUUGGAAAUCCAACUAUUUCACUGCAAAGAAAACCAUUGACGUCCAUGAAGAUUUAGACAGCCAGGCUCUCAAAAAUUGGUGGAUAUGACUUAAAGAGCUGUUUAAGCACCAUCAUGGACAGCUCAUGACAAAUGAAUUAAUGUCCAAUCUGAACAUGAAGGGGAGAGGGGGAAAAAAAUAGCUUUGCCGAGACGAAGCUGCUCGAUUUAGUCACAGCUAGUGUCUUGGAUACCCAGAAGGGGACCGAAACGAUGGUCCAUGAUGCCAUAAAAAAUAAACUGAAAUAUGCCCCUGGACGGAAGGGAGGAAUAGGAUGGGCAUCACAGGCUAAAUAAAUAAUUAUAUCAAUUGACAUUCUCCAUUUUCUUUGUACUUAAUUUUAAUUUUGCAUUAACAGGAUUCAGCCUGGAGCUAUAUAUGCACUAUGUUU
This is a long non-coding RNA of Nerophis ophidion (straightnose pipefish), 474 nucleotides long. RefSeq lists it as uncharacterized. The transcript is spliced from 4 exons. The record is from RefSeq and is a predicted model, not a curated record. NCBI's taxonomy places the organism in Eukaryota, Metazoa, Chordata, Actinopteri, Syngnathiformes, Syngnathidae.